RNAcentral lists this long non-coding RNA (269 nucleotides) under Callithrix jacchus (white-tufted-ear marmoset). RNAcentral's name for it is "lncRNA (ENSCJAG00000065465.2)". The record is from RNAcentral. Lineage: Eukaryota; Metazoa; Chordata; Mammalia; Primates; Cebidae.
CUGCAAAGGCGGAAAAUGCGUCAAGGCUUUCAGAGGAUGGACCGUGGGCUGGUUUUGGGCUCCAGGAUUCUAGAGGGGCCCUGAAGAAAGACGUCUUUCAUCUGUGCAUCACAAAGUGCUCUGAAAGCAUGAUUAACGAAGCUUCCCAACUCCCCAGACCGGCAGGCGUCCCACUGCCCUCUUCAGUCAAAGCUACAUGGUUGAGGCCAGCUCCCCAGGGAGUUACCAAAGUCUUCUCCUAUUUGCUGGCUGGUUGGAGAAACCAUUGA